Molecule: small nuclear RNA, 168 nt
Organism: Suncus etruscus (white-toothed pygmy shrew)
Lineage: Eukaryota; Metazoa; Chordata; Mammalia; Eulipotyphla; Soricidae
Product: U1 spliceosomal RNA
Exons: 1
Source: RefSeq, a predicted model, not a curated record
AUACUUACCUGGCAGGGGUGAUUCCAUGAUCAGGAAGGUGGAUUCCCCAGGGUGAGGCUUGCCCAUUGCACUCCCGGCAGGCGUGCUGACCCCUGCGAUUUCCCCAAAUGUUUGAAACUCGACUGUGUUAUUCUUGGUAGUAGGGGACUGCGUGCGUGCUCUCCCCUG